AGAGUUUGAUCAUGGCUCAGGAUGAACGUUGGCGGUGUGCCUAAUACAUGCAAGUCGAACGGAGUUAAUAGCAAUAUUGACUUAGUGGCGAACGGGUGAGUAACGCGUUGGUGAUCUGCCUCGAAGUGUGGAAUAACGUUCCGAAAGGAACGCUAAUACCGCAUGUGCUCUCGAUUUUUAGAAAGUUGAGAGUAAAGGAUUUAUUCGCUUCGAGAGGAGCCUGCGUCCCAUCAGCUGGUUGGUAGGGUAACGGCCUACCAAGGCUAUGACGGGUAGGGGACCUGAGAGGGUGGCCCCCCACAAUGGAACUGAAACACGGUCCAUACACCUACGGGUGGCAGCAGUAGGGAAUAUUAGAAAUGGACGAAAGUCUGAUCUAGCAACACCGCGUGUGCGAAGAAGGCCUUCGGGUCGUAAAGCACUUUUUGGAAGGAAUAGGAAGGAAUGUACUUCCAGAAUAAGUCUCGGCUAACUACGUGCCAGCAGCCGCGGUAACACGUAGGAGGCGAACGUUAUCCGGAUUUACUGGGCGUAAAGCGCGUGUAGGUGGUACUGUAAGUAGGGCGUGAAAGCUCCCGGCUCAACUGGGAGAGGCCGUUCUAAACUACAGAACUAGAGGAUGGUAGAGGGAGGUGGAAUUCCAGGUGUAGCGGUGGAAUGCGCAGAUAUCUGGAGGAACACCGGUGGCGAAGGCGGCCUCCUGGACCAUUCCUGACACUCAGACGCGAAAGCUAGGGUAGCAAACGGGAUUAGAGACCCCGGUAGUCCUAGCCCUAAACGAUGUAGACUA
RNAcentral lists this ribosomal RNA (790 nucleotides) under uncultured bacterium. RNAcentral describes it as "bacterial SSU rRNA". It matches the Rfam family "Bacterial small subunit ribosomal RNA", at positions 8 to 818 of the family's 1533-position model. The record is from RNAcentral.